This is a non-coding RNA of Meleagris gallopavo (turkey), 7357 nucleotides long. The record is from RefSeq and is a predicted model, not a curated record. Lineage: Eukaryota; Metazoa; Chordata; Aves; Galliformes; Phasianidae.
GUACCAGGUUUUAAAGCAUCAUUUUUUCACUGCUGGAGUUUUCAGGGCUCGGAACGCUGAAUCUUGUAAAGGCUUUUACAUUUAAAAUAAGACACUUUGAGUCUUGGUUAUUUCAGUAGUCUGCCAGUAAAAUCAUUACAACAGCUGACAUAAAUUUCUAUGCCAGCCCUUAAUACAAGUUGGAGGCGAUAGCUAAAAUAAUUUUUUAUUUCAUAGAGCUCAGAACAUUGAAGUAAUAGAUCCCCUAGAUCUACUACUAGAUCUCGAGAAGGUUAUUAAGAUGAAAAAUUCAGCACGUGGAAUGAUUGAAAUCAGAUGAUAUUCUUAAGGUGGUAAAGCUUAUUUUUAGUUGCAAUGAACCGUAGCUAGGCUCUGUGGUUUACUUUAAUUCUUGAAGGCUACAAAAUGGUUAUUUUAUUCAGAGACUUUGAUUUCUUUUUCGUAAUUUUCUGUACUAUAAUACUGAUGUUUUUCUCUUAUGCCUUUGUUCUUUAGUCUAUAGAAGACUUGAUGGCACAGUUGAAUGUUGUAGUAACAGUAGCCUCACAGACAUUUGCUUUUCGUACAGCAAUAACUUGGACAGCCUUCGGUACGUCUGUCUGCCAGCACGAAAAGUUAUCGAGGCCAGCAAAGUUUGUCGAACAAAUGCAGACUGCCAGAAGGAUGUUGUUUCAAGCUUUUGUGUGACUCCUUCUUUAGAGAAUCAAACAAGACUAUUCAGGGUAAAACAUCCACCCCAUAUGGACAUGCUGUUUGUAGGACACCCCAUGCACCUUCAAUACACAGUAAGUCUCAGCAGUUUUGUACCACGACAUAACUUUCUAAGCAUCGAUCUGCCAGUGGUGAUAGAGAGAUUUUGCAAAUACCUAAUUUCACUGUCAGGAGCACUGGCAGUUAUCAAUGCUGUACCCUGCUUCGCUUUGGAUGGUCAGUGGAUAUUAAAUUCUUUCCUGGAAGCCACUCUGAGCUCCUUGAUUGUGGAAAAACAAAACAGAGAGCUUGUUGGCUUCUUAAUUUUGCUUGCUGGGAGUACACUUUUGGCUGCCAAUGUUGCACUGGGACUUUGGAUGGUUACAGCACGAUAGGACACUGGAUAUUCAUCAAUUCUUGUAUUACAUGGACGUAAUGAAUCAAUGCCUUUUAAAACUUGUUUGGUACUCAGAUUGAAAUAAUUCCUUUAAAAUGACACUGAAAGAACAAUCACUAGAGGCUCCUGAUGUAACUUAAAUCUGUGCAGUGUUGUGUCUGUGGUCUUGGGAAGAAUAAGAGAAAGAAGCAAGAAUCUUUUAAUGUACUACUUAAACACUGUAUUAAUUUUAGAGAAGUUCCAUUGUAAAGCUUCACUGGAAAAAACCUGAUUUAUUAACUUAAAUCUCAGAAUAAGGGAAUUAUUCGGCCUCAGACAUUUGUAAAGUGGAAAGAGAAAACACUUAAAUCUUAUUUUAUAAUUUGAAUAAUGUCCAAAAAAAGUGUGUGCUCUGAUCAUUUCUCAGUCAGUGUUAUCUUGAGUGCCUGCUUUGCUUUAUUAAAAAGCAAAGUUCUACCAAAUGGGACUCUUAGACACCCUGAAGACUUCAUCUCAAACUGGUGUAAAACUAAGUAAAUGGUUGCCAUGUGUUAAUGAGAGAGAGGCCAUUUGGGUUAGUAUCUUUCCUUUACAGCUGGCCAAAAUGACUGGAAGCAUAUCGUCCUCAGGAUGUAGAUGGGAAGUGCCAGUGUCUGUUGAGAAUGAGGUAUGUGGGAGGAAAACAAAGCCCACAUGUCUGUAUCACUUAUGCAUUUGGUUGCAUAUUACUCUGCACAGCUGAAGAUUUUGUAAAGGCAAUAUUUGUCAACAAUAGCUAGACAAUAACUGAAAUUUAGUUUUUCAGUGCUAUAGAAUGCUGUGCAAAAUUAUUGCUGAGUGAUAAUAUUUGUGUCCUUUUACUCAGAAAAUAAUACUGCAUACAGUUAAAAGUGAAAUCUGUUGUUUUUAUAGUGUCCAUCUUCUGAUGCUGUGCAUGCUGUACGCCUGGUAACUCACUGACAUUUCUCUGUCUUUCAACGGGUUGCUUUCCUGUGCUGUAAUUGAAGUGUUGUUGAAGUUGCUUUGGGAUCAGGAUUGUUUAGAGGAAGAACAUGAUUCUGAAUCUAAGUAUUCUAACACUUGGUUUUGCUUUCUGAAGUUAAUAUGGACCAUAUAUUUGUUUUUAAAUGAGCAAUGGAAGAGCAAACUGUUUUGCUGACUCAAGUAUGUCUGACGUAUUCUGAAGCCCUUUAAGUCUGCAAUGUUUGGUACCUCAGUAGGAUUGUACACUGACCAUUGUGUCCUCCUAUUUUGUAUAAAUCAGAUCUGUUAGAUGCUUGUCUCAAUACAGGCUGAUAUUUCAAAUAAUGUUGCUCUGGUUUGGAAGCCUACAUAUUUGAAAUAUGGAAGUUUUGGAAAAUUAUCUGCAGCUUCUAUCUCAUCUAGUGCUCCCAACAGGAGCUUCUGCAGCUCAGAGUUCCUUUAACGAGGAACUUUCCAUUCAUGAACUUAAGUAGAUAACGUAAUGGACAGUGGCCUGCAGGGAGUUGUGAAGCAUUCAUCAUCAGCUAACACACAUCUUGGUGCUAGAGCUGUAAGGGUAAUUUUAACAGCAGAGUUGAGCCCUAUUCCUGGUGCUGCUGCAUGGAUACAUAAUUCUGAUAUUAACAUUUGCUUACUGAUGUGUUACAGUAUUUUUGCAAAGUAGCCUUUGCGUAAGCUGGGCCUCCUGAGUUUGCCUCUGUGUGAUGGCAGGCCCGUGCCUCUGAUUUUCAGUUGUUUCAGCCUAGGCAUCUGAAUAAAUCCUUCAGCCAAUUCAGUGUGAGUUGGUCCUCCUGGGGACUUCAGAAGUCAUCAAGUGCAGGAAAGGAAAACAGAACUAUUACAAACUGCCAACUGACUUCUUCAGGAGCCACCAGGAAAAGCCGAGUUCAUUGUCACUUUCAGUAAGUUGAAGAAGAUUCAAAGUAGCAGUUUCUGAUGUGCCUUUCUUCUGUCUCUCCACAAGCAGCAGUGACAUGAGGAGCCUGGUUCUUACAAAGGCUGGAGCUGAAGUGAUGCUCUAGAAGGCUGUUCAUUCACCUAGGUAGCUGCUUAUUAAUCUGAACUCUUAUUUUCAAGCACCAUGCCAGUUUCCAAGCACAAUGUCAGUUUCCACUGUCUCUGUUUCUUGUCCAGUCAAUAGUGCACAAAAUGAAUUUACACUCUAGUGCAAUUUAAUAAGACAGAUAUUAGCUUUUCAAAAAAGAUACUGUUUAUGUAUCAGAGUUGUAGUGCUAGCUUAAUUUCUAGAGGAAUAACAAAUGCACCUGUAGUGAUUUCAAAAAUAUCCAGUGAAAAACAUUUCAAGUUUGAUAAUUGAUAUAUUCAUGCUGACUCCAGCUGCUUGGGAUGAUCCAUUUUGCAUAGUAACUCCUCCUGGAGAUCAAAGAGAAGUUGUUUUUAAAUAAUACAUACAUUGCAUCUACUAUAUGGAUGCUAGCAGAUUGUUCCUGGUUACCUAAUGUGCUACAAAACAUGAUUUAACAAACCAAAAAUCCUGUUGAUUUCACUUUAUGUGAUCUCUGAAAAUCAAACUCAACCUGUGUUUUGCCUCAUAAUCAAAAUGAGGGUAGAUAAGACUUGUUGAUCGUGGCUUUACCAAAAGAGACAAGCUAGUACACUGUUAAGGCCAUGGAUAAUUUCAGUGGUAGAGGUAAGUGAUGUAAGGGUUUUAAAAUAAUUAAUGGGUCCAUUUCUCUGUUCUACUGCAUAGGGUUUGAUUUAGGUAGGUGUAGGUACUUUGAAUCAAGGGUUUAAGCAAACUGAGAUCACUUUGGUGACCCAGCACGUACCUUAGAUUAAGUGUGGAAAAAGGUAAUAGCUAAGGUGAACCAUAAGAAAAAGUUGUUUAGUGGAUCCAUUUUAUUAUCCUGUAAUCCUAGUGUAUGGAUCGCAUUCUGUAAAGCAAGUGCCAUUUUUUACUUACAUACCGUUAUUGGGAUGGUGGUUUUGUUUUAUUUUGUUGUUACUCUUUUUUUGUUGUUGUUUAGCAAGGGAGAACACAGAAGGGCACAUCAUGUUUUGCGUGAUGCCUUUUUAUUCAGGGUUAUUUGCAAUGUUUCUUCUAUUUAUAUUUUUGUGAAGACUAAAAGGCAAUCUUUCUUUAAAAUGAAAUCUUUUUCACUUUUCAUAUUUAGCCUCCCAGAAUAGAGCUUAUUCUGUAACAAAGAAUAUAUCAAUAUCGUUAUAGGGGUUAUUUUCUCAAGUGUAAAACAGAACAUUGUUAAUGAUUGGAUGAAUACUACUAUUUAUAUAUAUAUACAAUUUUUUAAAAAUCUGUAUCAGAUGGAAAAAGUAAUGUCAACAUUUGGGAAGUGUUGUACAUAGUUUUUACUUGAAAAUUGUCAGAAUUCUAUAAUAGUAAUCAGUUAUUGUUCUGAUUUGUUUUUGUUUUAAGGAGACUUUUUUUUUUUAAUAUCAGCAAAACUUUCAUAGCAUGGUCUCAUAAUGCAUGGUGUGACAAUAAUAAUGGGUAACUUCUUAGAACAUAGGAUGUUACAUGCUCACUGCUAGCUUUGAAAUUAAAACCAGCUUGCUUCCUUGUAAGUUAAAUAAAAAAAGUUUGCUAGGUAAAUUGCAGACAAACCUGCAGAUUAUUCAGUCCAAAGUUAUGAGCUGGAGUGGAAAAUGUGUUAACUCACUCUUUUAUUACAAUGAAACAAACAACCGUAUUGACAAUUGGAUUUUUUAGUGGUCGUUCUGAUUUUUUGUCUAUGUAUGUAUAUACAGAAAUACAGAUAGUAGAUAAAUAUAGAACCACAGUAUGUAUUGCUGCUUUUUUAGAGAUAACAGAGCUAUCCUCCAUAUUCUGCAAUGCAAGUAUUUUUCUUUCUCUUUAUGAAUUCCCUGACUUUUUCUGGACUUUAAAACUGGAGCUGUGCUCUCUUCCCAUAACUGAUCUGUAGGGAUUUCUUACUGAAAGACAUGUGAUGGACAUAGUGUAACCACAGCUGCUUAAGUUUGAUUCAGCUGAUGUUCAAAAUGCAUUUCGUGCUUUAUGAGAAGCCUCAGCUAUAGGCACAGUAAACAAAGAUUUCCAGGCUGGUUAAAAGAGGUCAACUUUAGAAUCUAUCACUCUCUCACUGCUGCUGUUUGUGCUAUUCAGAGUGAUAACUGGUAUGAAUGAGUCUGUGCACAAUAUACAGAAGAAAUUUUAGAAGGGCAGACCUUCCCAUGGCAUCAGACUGUCCCAGGUUUAUUGAUUACCUUGCUAAAGGAUGUAUUUUUGUUCAGUUCAGAGUAUCACCAAUCCAAGUUUGCCGUUUCCUGCAUGUUUUACAGAAUGAUGCCAUAUAGCAAGUAGUUGUUUCUAGGUGGUGUUUUGUUCUUCUGUUGUUUUUUUUUCUUUUUUUUUUAAUGAUUUGUCUUUUAUCUGAAAGAUAUGAAUUUGUAUCUGGAUAUCAUUUGUGACAGAUGAAGAAGAGCUAUAAAGGUUUAUGUAGCCUAAGCUCCAUUUGUUUUAAAAAGUUGUGAUUCUAACUCUAGAAAUGCAUUUUUAUUUGGAAAAUAAGCAUUCCAUACACUUGCAUUCACAUUAAUUCCCACAGGUAGUCCUGUCUCACUUUGUGAGUAAGGAAGCUAACUCAGGUAAGAUUUGUUAUUUUAUUCCCUUUUAUCCUGAAAUGUAUGUAACACUACAUCCAGAUUUGUUACCUAUUGUGGCUCAGUUACCUGUGGUAUAUAUGCUGUAUUAGUGAAGCAACUGGAAAGCGUUGUUGUAGAGUCUGCCACCAAUAGUGGACCCAGUGUGAAAGGAUAGGAACAGAAAGCAAGAUAAAACACUGCAAUUCUGUUCGUUGCAUUUGCAUUGGCAUGAAACAUGAAAAAAAAACCCAAAUCCAAACCUUUAAUUAACAUUUCAGAGCAUGCAGAUACAUCUAGUAGCCCUUUGUUAAAUCAUUCAAUGAGUGGUGCUCCAACUUCCUUCUUUUUUUUGAUACUUUGUUGGUCCAUUGAUAAGUGUGCACUGAAUGAGUGGAUGGGGAAUUUGCAGCUUACUGGGUAAAAAUGGUCUUGGAUAUUUCUCACCUAUAGAUGUUCAUCCAGGGUUUGUUUUGCAGCAUCAUGCUGCAACUGACCUUCACCGACCAUUAGUUCCAAAGUUCAAAGGCUAUUUCCAAGUCAUCACAAGAGAAAUGCAGUUUCUUCCUUUUCAAGUUGUGUGUUAAUGUUUUUAAUUCCUCUUUUCCGUACAAAACUUUGGUUUUAGAUUUCAUAUGCUCUUAUCUGAAGUCUGUCAAUGGAAUAGGUAUUGUUUUGGAACUCACUGAUGUUUUUUCCUCUGUAUAGCCUUAUUUCUCAUGCUGACUCACAGCUGUGGAAUGUUAGAUUUCUAGACCGUUUGUUCUCACUAUGCAUUGUUCAUGAACACUUUUAAAAAGAAAAAAAAAAAGCUUCAUUCUGAAAAUGUCAGUUAACAAAUAGUAUGUAGAACUUUGAAUAAUGUAUUGUGUUUUUUGUUGUGUUUUUUUUCUCUGUUUAAUCAACCAAACAAUAAGUAUUGUUUUCUGUGUGUGAUAAAUGUAUCCUGCAAAGAAAUUCAUUGUUUGAUUGUGAAUGUGCUUAAAUCUGUUUUUAAAAAUAAGGUAAAAUGACAUAAUUCGUUAUUUAUGGCAGUUAUUAUGUUCUCUCUCCUACAUUCUCAUGCUCCUCUCACACGUAAUCUAUAUUCUCUAUCUGGGUACCAGAAACCUUCCCCCUACUCUUCUUAGUACUUGACCACCUCCUAAAAUUAAUAAUACUGCUAAUUUGCUUUUCCUUACUUACCAGUUUAUCACAGUAAUAAUUAGAUUUAUAAUAGAAGUGCAUCCAGAGGGACAUCUGCACUCUGUUCCUGAGCAAAGCUAAUUUUACUGUAAUGUUCCCAAGGUACACAAUGACCACCUUCUAGGAGCACAACCCUCAGUCUUGGCCUCCUCCUAUGUAAUUCUUCAGUUCUUGCAUUGCUUGCACUGGACUUCCAUUGGCUUGUUUUAUAGUGAAAUAUUUGACAUGGGAUGCCGAGAUGCCAUCGUUGAGGUCUCAGGGCUUCUAAGACCUAUGUAUGGGGCUGGCAGCUGGGGCCCUAUAGGAGAUCAAAGACAUCCUGUACCAGCAGCUGGAUACUAGGAGGGCUACCUGAGGGCAUUUUGUAUCAUGUCAGAUGCUUACAUGUGGGUUAACAUCACUGGCACGGUAUUCGUUGUAUAAGCGUUGCAGUAAAAACCUCAAAGCAAACUUGUUAAUCCUUAACAACAGCUACACAUACCAUUCUGUAUUCAUCAGAAGUUCUUUCAGUUCAAAAUCAACCAUCAGAGUAAUGAAGAAGAG